Molecule: ribosomal RNA, 402 nt
Filed under: uncultured bacterium
Lineage: Bacteria
Also listed under: 2 other names
Description: bacterial SSU rRNA
Rfam family: Bacterial small subunit ribosomal RNA
Source: RNAcentral
UGGGGAAUAUUGGACAAUGGGCGAAAGCCUGAUCCAGCAAUGCCGCGUGAGUGAUGAAGGCCUUAGGGUUGUAAAGCUCUUUUACCCGGGAUGAUAAUGACAGUACCGGGAGAAUAAGCUCCGGCUAACUCCGUGCCAGCAGCCGCGGUAAUACGGAGGGAGCUAGCGUUAUUCGGAAUUACUGGGCGUAAAGCGCACGUAGGCGGCUUUGUAAGUUAGAGGUGAAAGCCUGGAGCUCAACUCCAGAAUUGCCUUUAAGACUGCAUCGCUUGAAUCCAGGAGAGGUGAGUGGAAUUCCGAGUGUAGAGGUGAAAUUCGUAGAUAUUCGGAAGAACACCAGUGGCGAAGGCGGCUCACUGGACUGGUAUUGACGCUGAGGUGCGAAAGCGUGGGGAGCAAACA